UGACGACGACCCGCUGGGCCGCUGAAUAUAUAGCGCCCCCUCCAACAGCCGGCGGAGACCCUCCGCUUGCUGGCGCGCAGACCGGUUGCCGCCAGAUAGGGCCCAAAGUGCGUCAUCCGCGGAGGAAUCUUUGUACCCGACGCGGUUAGCCGUAGGCCGCGGGACCUCGGCGCCGAGGGGCAGCGAUAAAGUAAAACGCAUUUCGGUUGGAAAGGAGCUCUUGAUAGGGGGGUCACGGCUAUGACGUCGGUGAAAAAAAAGUGAGGAAAACAUUUCUUACAAUUCGGUGGAGGUUCACCUUGACACUCAGGCUUCUCGUAUUGGAAGUGGACGAGCAGGAUACUAUCACGUGCACUCCAUCGGACCACCAACACAAGCUGAGUGAAUGACACAGUGGAAAAUUUUUAAGCUCGUGGUGGCAUUUUCCCAGCGUUGCUCUCUUAGCCAGCGGGGAUUACAUGUAUCGCCUCAUAUUAUGAGGCAUUUUCCAAACUUUUUCUUCUGCGGCACAAAUGAUCAUCACUGCAAAAUGAACGAUGUUCCUGACUCUUGGACACUGAGCUGCUGCAACAAUGGAUCGUUUGUGAAUCAUAUGGUAAUCUCCAGUUGCUGAUAUGGCACACACGUUCUCCAGACCUGGUACCGUGUGAUAUUUACCUGUGGGACUACAUCAAAAGCACUGUUUUCACACAUCCAUCGCCCCGCAACAUCGCUGACUUACGAGGACGUAUGAGGGCAGCGGCACUAGCUUCUGCGCGGACACUUUUGGAUGCACCUUCGCAUUCUGAUGUCUAAUGGACCUCUGGAAUCCGUCGCUGCAGUUUAUCGGUUUUAUUAAUGUUUACCUUGUAUGGUAUUGUAAACAGUAUCACCUUAGUAUUUAUUUC
Schistocerca nitens (vagrant locust) is the source of this 887-nucleotide long non-coding RNA. RefSeq lists it as uncharacterized. The record is from RefSeq and is a predicted model, not a curated record. NCBI's taxonomy places the organism in Eukaryota, Metazoa, Arthropoda, Insecta, Orthoptera, Acrididae. The transcript has 3 exons.